This 505-nucleotide long non-coding RNA is filed under the name Nicotiana benthamiana. Its description in RNAcentral is "long non-coding RNA (NBEN_LNC008035)". The record is from RNAcentral. Lineage: Eukaryota; Viridiplantae; Streptophyta; Magnoliopsida; Solanales; Solanaceae.
UUUAUUGUUCUUGAUAUUCUGCUUAUCUGUCAUCCCCACAACAUGUUCCCCUUCCCCACCUUUAAGUGCUUAUUACUUGUUUACUUUUUCAUCAUAUAUUAUAUAAUUGCACCGGCUUAUCUGGAGCCUGGUCCUAGCCUCAUCACUACUUCGCUGGGGUUAGGCCAGACACUUACCAUCACAUGGGGUCGGUUGUGCUGAUGCUACACUCUGUGCUCUUUUGCACAGAUCCAAGUGCCGGAGUAACAUUUGAGCAGCAGUGUUAGAUCGGGAGCCAGCCUUCAGUCCACGAGACAUCUAGGUAGCCUUGUAGAUGUUCACAAGCCCAGAAUCUCCUCUAUCUUGUUUUUUUUUUAAUUUUGUUAUCUCAUGUAUUCCGAGACAAAUAAUGUAUUAUUAUUUUCAAACGGUUGUGUGUAGCACUGUUAGUGGUUCGUGAGUACGUGACACCAGUUCUUUGGUAGAGAUUAUAUUGAUUUUUUCGUAUUAUUGUUCAGAUUCUUUA